AACGAACGCUGGCGGCAGGCCUAACACAUGCAAGUCGAACGCACCGCAAGGUGAGUGGCGCACGGGUGAGUAACACGUGGGAAUGUACCCUUCGGUUCGGAAUAACGUUUGGAAACGAACGUUAAUACCGGAUGAGCCCUACGGGGGAAAGAUUUAUCGCCAAAGGAGCAGCCCGCGUCUGAUUAGGUAGUUGGUGGGGUAAAGGCCUACCAAGCCGACGAUCAGUAGCUGGUCUGAGAGGAUGAUCAGCCACACUGGGACUGAGACACGGCCCAGACUCCUACGGGAGGCAGCAGUGGGGAAUAUUGGACAAUGGGCGCAAGCCUGAUCCAGCCAUGCCGCGUGAGUGAUGAAGGCCUUCGGGUUGUAAAGCUCUUUCGCACACGACGAUGAUGACGGUAGUGUGAGAAGAAGCCCCGGCUAACUUCGUGCCAGCCGCCGCCGUAA
RNAcentral lists this ribosomal RNA (447 nucleotides) under uncultured bacterium. Its description in RNAcentral is "partial 16S ribosomal RNA". It matches the Rfam family "Bacterial small subunit ribosomal RNA", at positions 29 to 523 of the family's 1533-position model. The record is from RNAcentral.